This 72-nucleotide transfer RNA is filed under the name Camelus bactrianus (Bactrian camel). It matches the Rfam family "tRNA". Rfam says of the family: Transfer RNA (tRNA) molecules are approximately 80 nucleotides in length. Their secondary structure includes four short double-helical elements and three loops (D, anti-codon, and T loops). Lineage: Eukaryota; Metazoa; Chordata; Mammalia; Artiodactyla; Camelidae. RNAcentral also lists the same sequence under 2 other names. The record is from Rfam by way of RNAcentral.
GGAGGUAUAGCUCAUUGGUAGAGCACAUGCUCAGCAUGCAUGAGGUCCUGGGUUCAAUCCCCAGAACCUCCA